CAUAACUAUAAAACUUUAAAAAUAAAUCCAAAACAAAGUUUGUGAAAGGUCUUCUGGAGCACAACCAUCUCUCCCCCAAAAACCAUAAACUGAAAUCCAGCCCUAAAUCUCUGGGAGUUUGGGACUUUUAUAUGGAUGCGGAUACACUUUUUGGAUGGCCGGGUAGCCGGUUAGCCGGAUAGCCGGAUAGCUCUGAAUUUGAACCUCAUUGAAGCUGUCAGAAGUCGAAAGUCAGGGCAUCAAAAGUCAGAAGUCAGAUGCGGCUUUUAGGUUGGAUUGUCUGCGAAUUAGCUGGAGAGAGCAAAUCACUUAAAGUGAGCGCGAGGCUCAAUCACAGCUCUGCCAAAAGUGUCCUGCCAGAUACCGAUGCCAGGACAUGGCGACACCAGGACGUCCAGGACAACCAGGCUGCUGGAGGAGGAGGAGAGAUGCCUGAGAUGGUAGUGCUGGAGUGGAGUCACCGUCGAAUGUCAGGAGUGUGUGGCAUCUUAUAAAUCGAUAUGAGUGUCUGUUGCACCCACACAGAUCCAGAGGAGUGGCAGGAACAAGGCCGGCAAGGAAGGCAGGGUGGGGGGAAAGGACAUGGCUGAAGUUCGAUCGUUACGGUGCAUGUUUUGGCUUCCACUGGGAGAAACAAAACUUCUGAUGAGAUAGUUGUGGAUUUCGUCACUGGAAUAAAGCCUCUUCAGAAUUGCAUUUCUGCGGAGAGUGCAAAUGGCUGCGAAGGCGGGUGGCGGCAUCGCGUCAUCUUGUCAAAUAUUUCGCGCUAAAUUAACACGACAGCGCGCCCAAAUGGAGUAAGAAGAUGUCAGCCGGGCCGAAAGGACGAAGGACGCAGGACGCAGGACAUGGGGGAACUAAGAGGUUGCAAGUAGCAAGUUGCAAGUUGCGAAAGCGAGUAGCACUGACUGACGGUCCUCAAAGGAGCAGCAGCAAAAAAAAAAAAAAAAAAGAAAAACUGAAACCCAUGAAGCUCAAGUGGUUGGAGUUUCCAGGGUGAGCCUUUAGUGGAGCCUGCCAUGUGCCAUGUGGCAUGUGGCAUGUGCCUGCUACGGCUCCUUUUCCUUUCCACAUACUCUGUCAGUGUGAGAGUGCAUAAUUUGUUGGCUUUGUGCAACACCCCGGUAGCCCUUCUCCAUUCAGCUUCCUUGCCAUCCUGCUGAAGUAUCCGAAAGUCCUUUUGUGGCAAGAUGCAAGGAUGGACCGCAGCUUGGAAUGCCCUAGCAGGACACUUUGAAGGACUCUACGUAAGAAAAUUAAUGUCGCAUUUUACAUCGAAAAUCAAUUUUGUGACGAAAGUGGUUGUGACUAUAUAGUCUAGAAUAUAGACUAGACUCGAGCCUUCAAUGGAAGAGCGCUUUUCAUUGCCUACUUUUAGGCUUAUAAAUAGUACAUGCAGUCAGUGAGGCCAAAAAUGUGACAUAGCCGGCAAAUGAAAGGACCAGAGAGAAUCAGGCAAGGAAUGCGUGUGGCAGAAAGAGCUCCCAUUCGUGCCCCCCGUUCAGUCAUCCUGUUGCUCCUGUUCGGCCGCCACUAUUGCUACCUCUAAUAGUUGUUGCAAAUAAGGCCCGGACCAGGAUAUCGUUGUCAAUGGCAAUAACAAAGGCCAUAACCCACGGCAUAUGGCUUAUUACGUUUUCAAUAAGAGUGGAAAAAAGUAUCGCAUUCAAUGGCCAAGACCGAUCGCUAGCCUUAAAUUCAUAAACUCAACUCCCUAUUGGCUUUAGUUAUGUUGCAGCUUAAGUUGUA
This is a long non-coding RNA of Drosophila ananassae, 1749 nucleotides long. RefSeq lists it as uncharacterized. The record is from RefSeq and is a predicted model, not a curated record. Lineage: Eukaryota; Metazoa; Arthropoda; Insecta; Diptera; Drosophilidae. The transcript is spliced from 6 exons.